CGCGGCCUAUCAGCUUGUUGGUGGGGUAGUGGCUUACCAAGGCUUUGACGGGUAGCCGGCCUGAGAGGGUGACCGGCCACAUUGGGACUGAGAUACGGCCCAGACUCCUACGGGAGGCAGCAGUGGGGAAUAUUGCACAAUGGGCGGAAGCCUGAUGCAGCGACGCCGCGUGAGGGAUGACGGCCUUCGGGUUGUAAACCUCUUUCAGCAGGGACGAAGCGUAAGUGACGGUACCUGCAGAAGAAGCACCGGCUAACUAUGUGCCAGCAGCCGCGGUAAUACGUAGGGUGCGAGCGUUGUCCGGAAUUACUGGGCGUAAAGAGCUCGUAGGCGGUUUGUCACGUCGUCUGUGAAAUCCUAGGGCUUAACCCUGGACGUGCAGGCGAUACGGGCUGACUUGAGUACUACAGGGGAGACUGGAAUUUCUGGUGUAGCGGUGGAAUGCACAGAUAUCAGGAAGAACACCGAUGGCGAAGGCAGGUCUCUGGGUAGUAACUGACGCUGAGGAGCGAAAGCAUGGGUAGCGAACAGGAUUAGAUACCCUGGUAGUCCAUGCCGUAAACGGUGGGCGCUAGGUGUGGGGUUCCUUCCACGGGCUCCGCGCCGUAGCUAACGCAUUAAGCGCCCCGCCUGGGGAGUACGG
This 643-nucleotide ribosomal RNA is filed under the name uncultured bacterium. RNAcentral's name for it is "bacterial SSU rRNA". It matches the Rfam family "Bacterial small subunit ribosomal RNA", at positions 232 to 885 of the family's 1533-position model. The record is from RNAcentral.